Molecule: ribosomal RNA, 1344 nt
Filed under: metagenome
Description: bacterial SSU rRNA
Rfam family: Bacterial small subunit ribosomal RNA
Source: RNAcentral
AGAGUUUGAUCCUGGCUCAGGAUGAACGCUGGCGGCGUGCCUAACACAUGCAAGUCGAACGUGAGAGAGUAGCAAUAUUCUUGAAAGUGGCGAACGGGUGAGUAACACGUGGGUAACCUGCCCUGAAGUGGGGGAUAACAACUAGAAAUGGUUGCUAAUACCGCAUGAGGCUGAGAUGACGGGAGUCAUUUUAGCGAAAACUCUGGUGCUUCAGGAGGGGCCUGCGGCCGAUUAGCUAGUUGGCGGGGUAAGAGCCCACCAAGGCGACGAUCGGUAGCUGGUCUGAGAGGACGAUCAGCCACACGGGAACUGAGAAACGGUCCCGACUCCUACGGGGGGCAGCAGUGAGGAAUAUUGGGCAAUGGGCGAAAGCCUGACCCAGCAACGCCGCGUGGAGGACGAAGGCCUUCGGGUCGUAAACUCCUUUUACGGGGGAAGAGGAAGGACGGUACCCCGAGAAUAAGUCACGGCUAACUACGUGCCAGCAGCCGCGGUAAUACGUAGGUGACGAGCGUUAUCCGGAAUUACUGGGCGUAAAGCGCACGCAGGUGGCGCCUUAAGUCUGACGUGAAAUCUCUCGGCUUAACCGGGAGGGGUCGUUGGAGACUGAGGUGCUUGAGGCGAUGAGAGGGGUGUAGAAUUCCCGGUGUAGUGGUGGAAUGCGUAGAUAUCGGGAGGAAUACCAGUGGCGAAAGCGACACCCUGGCGUUAGCCUGACGCUCAUGUGCGAAAGCGUGGGGAGCGAACGGGAUUAGAUACCCCGGUAGUCCACGCUGUAAACGAUGAAUACUAGGUGUGGGUCGAGUGAAAUCGGUCUGUGCCGAAGCAAACGCGCUAAGUAUUCCGCCUGGGGAGUACGGCCGCAAGGCUAAAACUCAAAGGAAUUGACGGGGGCCCGCACAAGCAGCGGAGCGUGUGGUUUAAUUCGAUUCAACGCGAAGAACCUUACCUAGGCUUGAAAGGCAAGUGACAGGGUGUGAAAGCACCCCUCCAGCAAUGGCACUUGUACAGGUGCUGCAUGGCUGUCGUCAGCUCGUGCCGUGAGGUGUUGGGUUAAGUCUCGCAACGAGCGCAACCCCUACCAUUAGUUGCCAUCAGGUUAUGCUGGGCACUCUAAUGGGACUGCCUACGCAAGUAGUGAGGAAGGUGGGGAUGACGUCAAGUCAGCAUGGCCCUUACGUCUAGGGCUACACACGUGCUACAAUGGGCGCUACAACGGGUUGCUAAGCCGCAAGGUGGAGCCAAUCCCUAAAAGGCGUCCUCAGUUCGGAUUGGAGUCUGAAACUCGACUCCAUGAAGCUGGAAUUGCUAGUAAUCGCGGAUCAGCACGCCGCGGUGAAUACG